Molecule: long non-coding RNA, 389 nt
Organism: Gordionus sp. m RMFG-2023
Lineage: Eukaryota; Metazoa; Nematomorpha; Gordioida; Chordodea; Parachordodidae
Exons: 5
Source: RefSeq, a predicted model, not a curated record
AGAAAUACCUAGAUACUCUAUAAAAAAUUAUGAUAAAAAUAAGCUAAAUACACUUGAUCACUUCAAAUCUCUACCUAGUAAAAGUAUAUCAAGUAUCACAUUGAAGAAGAAUGAUAGUAGUCAACAAAAUAUUAUAGGCUGUAUCAAUUUAGAAUUUAAAGGAAUAUCUCAAUUAAUAUUCACACCAAGGGGUAAAAAAAAUAGUGAUAACAAACAAAAAAAUACACUAAGUCACAACAAAUCACUAUCUAAUAAAUAUAUAUAAAAAAUCUAGGGAGAAUUUAAAUGGAAAUGAAGUUCCACUCAUGUCAGCAAUUCCCACAUACUCCAGAAAACUAAAGGAUAAUAGACAACCAAUUAUACUAGAUCAUUUAGAACCAUCACCUACU